GCCAGCAGCCAUAUCACUCUGCAACUCAGAACUGGUAACCCACUUAAGCUCAGCGGGUGUGAGCCUGGUCAGUACCUGGAUGGGAGACCUCCUGGGAAAGCUAAGGUUGCUCCUGGAA
Molecule: ribosomal RNA, 118 nt
Filed under: Lepisosteus oculatus (spotted gar)
Lineage: Eukaryota; Metazoa; Chordata; Actinopteri; Semionotiformes; Lepisosteidae
Source: RNAcentral